GAUGAACGCUGGCGGCGUGCCUAAUACAUGCAAGUCGAGCGAACAGACGAGGAGCUUGCUCCUCUGACGUUAGCGGCGGACGGGUGAGUAACACGUGGAUAACCUACCUAUAAGACUGGGAUAACUUCGGGAAACCGGAGCUAAUACCGGAUAAUAUAUUGAACCGCAUGGUUCAAUAGUGAAAGACGGUUUUGCUGUCACUUAUAGAUGGAUCCGCGCCGCAUUAGCUAGUUGGUAAGGUAACGGCUUACCAAGGCAACGAUGCGUAGCCGACCUGAGAGGGGGCUGGGCCACAGUGGAAGUGAACCGCGGACCAGCGCCCUGCGGGAGGCCCCAGAAGGGUAUCUUCGGCAGUGGGGGAGAAUCUGGCAGAGCAGCGCAGAGGGAGUGAUAAAGUUCUCGGGUUAGAAACACUUUGUUACUGGGAAAAAACAACUUUGAAAAUAAAAAUACACAUCUUGACGGUACCUACAAAAAAAGCCCCGGCUAACUACGUG
RNAcentral lists this ribosomal RNA (497 nucleotides) under uncultured bacterium. RNAcentral's name for it is "partial 16S ribosomal RNA". It matches the Rfam family "Bacterial small subunit ribosomal RNA", at positions 28 to 507 of the family's 1533-position model. The record is from RNAcentral.